Molecule: transfer RNA, 77 nt
Filed under: Escherichia coli
Lineage: Bacteria; Pseudomonadati; Pseudomonadota; Gammaproteobacteria; Enterobacterales; Enterobacteriaceae
Description: tRNA-Val
Rfam family: tRNA
About the family: Transfer RNA (tRNA) molecules are approximately 80 nucleotides in length.
Source: RNAcentral
GCGUUCAUAGCUCAGUUGGUUAGAGCUCCACCUUGACAUGGUGGGGGUCGUUGGUUCGAGUCCAAUUGAACGCACCA